GUCCAGGGUAGCCUAGUGGUCAUGGCAGCUGCCCGGUAAGCGGAAGGUCGUGGGUUCGAUUCCCAUCCCUUGACA
RNAcentral lists this transfer RNA (75 nucleotides) under Cordylochernes scorpioides. Its description in RNAcentral is "tRNA-Thr". It matches the Rfam family "tRNA". From Rfam's summary of the family: Transfer RNA (tRNA) molecules are approximately 80 nucleotides in length. The record is from RNAcentral. Lineage: Eukaryota; Metazoa; Arthropoda; Arachnida; Pseudoscorpiones; Chernetidae.